Oncorhynchus masou masou (cherry salmon) is the source of this 622-nucleotide long non-coding RNA. RefSeq lists it as uncharacterized. The transcript has 3 exons. Lineage: Eukaryota; Metazoa; Chordata; Actinopteri; Salmoniformes; Salmonidae. The record is from RefSeq and is a predicted model, not a curated record.
GGUGAAUUCACCAAUUUGUAAGUCGCUCUGGAUAAGAGCGUCUGCCAAAUGACUUAAAUGUUAAAUGUUAGCCCCAACUCUAUCAGCAGUGGAAGCUAGUGUCAAAUCACCCUCCCCAUGAUCAUCCCCCCAGCACAGCCUGUUUAAGAGUGGAGCAGGAGGAGCUGAAGGAGCAGGGAUGACUUCCUGUCCUGCGGACACUGAGCUGGAUCCAGAGGGGACUCACCAGAGUACAGCCUGGAGCUGAGAAGGGAGGUGCAGGACGAGAGGCUGACGCAGACUGCACUAGCACUGCAUCGCUCUGGCUAAGGAAGACGCCAGGGUUGAGGAAUCUGUGGGAGGCAGAGGAGAGAUGGAGGGAGGAGCAAGGCAAAGGGCCAGAGAGUGACCUUAACCCGUCUCCAGUGUCUGAGAUAACGGUGGCCUCCACCACCUCUGUGGUCAUCACCAAACAGUCGCCUGCCUGCAGCGGCUAAGAGGAAAUAGACUACCCAGAUCACCCUGGGUUUUGGGAGAGAUAGGACUGUAAGACCUGUUUGCUUGUGCCAGAUUAAAAACAGACAUUUUCAGAUCAUGGUCUAUCAAAUCAUAAGUCCUCUACGUUAACAUGCAUUUCACACAA